GUGGGGAAUAUUGCACAAUGGGGGAAACCCUGAUGCAGCAACGCCGCGUGAGUGAUGACGGCCUUCGGGUUGUAAAGCUCUGUCAUUAGGGACGAAAUUGACGGUACCUAAUGAGGAAGCCACGGCUAACUACGUGCCAGCAGCCGCGGUAAUACGUAGGUGGCAAGCGUUGUCCGGAUUUACUGGGCGUAAAGGAUGCGUAGGCGGAAUGUUAAGUCAGAUGUGAAAUACCCGGGCUCAACCUGGGGGCUGCAUUUGAAACUGGCAAUCUAGAGUGUGGGAGAGGAAAGUAGAAUUCCUAGUGUAGCGGUGAAAUGCGUAGAUAUUAGGAAGAAUACCAGUGGCGAAGGCGACUUUCUGGACCAUAACUGACGCUGAGGCAUGAAAGCGUGGGGAGCAAACAGGAUUAGAAACCCGAGUAGUCC
This 425-nucleotide ribosomal RNA is filed under the name uncultured bacterium. Its description in RNAcentral is "bacterial SSU rRNA". It matches the Rfam family "Bacterial small subunit ribosomal RNA", at positions 354 to 796 of the family's 1533-position model. The record is from RNAcentral.